This 429-nucleotide ribosomal RNA is filed under the name uncultured bacterium. Its description in RNAcentral is "bacterial SSU rRNA". It matches the Rfam family "Bacterial small subunit ribosomal RNA", at positions 355 to 776 of the family's 1533-position model. The record is from RNAcentral.
UUAGGAAUAUUCGUCAAUGGGGGAAACCCUGAACGAGCAAUGCCGCGUGAACGAUGAAGGCCCUAUGGGCUGUAAAGUUCUGUUGCAUGGGAAGAACGACUAGGAUAGGAAAUGAUCUUAGUGUGACGGUACCAUGCCAGAAAGCUCCGGCUAACUACGUGCCAGCAGCCGCGGUAAUACGUAGGGAGCGAGCGUUAUCCGGAUUUAUUGGGCGUAAAGGGUGCGUAGGCGGCUUGUUAAGUAUGAGAUUAAAGCCCGAGGCUUAACCUCGGUUCGUUUCAUAAACUGGCAGGCUUGAGUAUGGCAGAGGUAAACGGAAUUUCUAGUGUAGCGGUAGAAUGCGUAGAUAUUAGAAGGAACACCAGUGGCGAAGGCGGUUUACUGGGCCAUAACUGACGCUGAGGCACGAAAGCGUGGGGAGCAAAUAGG